RNAcentral lists this long non-coding RNA (1157 nucleotides) under Homo sapiens (human). RNAcentral describes it as "long non-coding RNA NONHSAT151531.1". The record is from RNAcentral. Lineage: Eukaryota; Metazoa; Chordata; Mammalia; Primates; Hominidae.
AUGCCGAAAGGAAAGAAGGGCAAGGGGAAGAAGUUGGCUCUGGCCCCUGCUGUCGUCAAGAAGCAGAGCCAAGAAAGUGGUGAAUCCGCUAUUUAAGAAAAGGCCUAAGAAUUUUGGCAUUGGACAGGACACCCAGCCCAAAAGAGACCUCACCUGCUUUGUGAAAUGGCCCUGCUAUAUCAGGUUGCAGCAGCAGAGAGCCAUCCUCUAUAUGCAGCUGAAAAUGCCUCCUGCGAUUAACCAGUUCAUCCAGGCCUUGCGCUGCCAAACAGCUACUCAGCUACUUAAGCUGGCCCACAAGUACAGAUCAGAGGCAAAGCAAGAGAAAGAAGCAGAGGCUAUUGGCCCAGGCUGAGAAGAAAGCUGCCAGCAAAGGGGAUGUCCCCAGUAAGAGACCACCUGUCUUUCAAGCAGGAGUCAGCACUUCACCACCUUGGUGGAGAACACGAAGACUCAGCUAGUGGUGAUUGCAUAUGACAUGGAUCCCAUCAAGCUGGUUGUCUUCCUACCUGCCCUGUGUCGUAAAAUGGGGGUCCCUUACUGCAUUAUCAAGGGGAAGUCAAGAGUGGGAUGUCUACUCCACAGAAAGACCUGCACCACUGGUUGCCUUCACACAGGUUAACUUGGAAGACAAAGGAGGUUUGUCUAAGCUGGUGGAAGCUAUCAGGAUCAAUUACAAUGACAGAUACGAUGAGAUCUGCCAUCACUGGGGAGGCAAUGUCCUGGGUCCCAAGUCUGUGACUCGCAUUGCCAAGCUCAAAAAGGCAAAGGCUAAAGAACUUGCCACCAAUUGGAUUAAAUGUACACUGUUGAGCUUUCUUUACAUAAAAAGCCUUCCUUGAAUCCAGAAGCUGGCAAACAGCAUCAGCCAUGCAGACCUAUUGGGACACCUUCUGGAGUAUGGGAAAACCCGCCUAGUGCCAAGCAACCCUCCAAGAUGCUAGUUAUCAAAAAAGUUUCCAAAGAGGAUCCUGCUGCUGCCUUCUCUGCUGCAUUCACCUCACCAGGAUCUCACCAUGCAAAUGGGAACAAAUUGUCAUCCGUGGUUCCAAGUGUCUAUAAGAACCUGGUUCCUAAGCCUGUACCACCUCCUUCCAAGGUAUGAUUUAGAAUCAGGGCAAGAACCUUAUACAAGAGAGGUUUGGGAAUAAAUCAGG